Molecule: long non-coding RNA, 143 nt
Organism: Frieseomelitta varia
Lineage: Eukaryota; Metazoa; Arthropoda; Insecta; Hymenoptera; Apidae
Exons: 3
Source: RefSeq, a predicted model, not a curated record
CUCUUCGUCGCUAGUCCGCCAAGCGAUCCAUGGUCUUUCUGCUCUGGCUGCCCCCGCCGCGAGCAAAGAGGACGGGAGGAAAGAGGUUGAAUUGCAUCGUUACAUCACCGGUUACUUAACCGUGGACAUAUCAGAAGAGCACA